This 301-nucleotide ribosomal RNA is filed under the name uncultured bacterium. Its description in RNAcentral is "partial 16S ribosomal RNA". It matches the Rfam family "Bacterial small subunit ribosomal RNA", at positions 509 to 807 of the family's 1533-position model. The record is from RNAcentral.
CAGUCGCCGCGGUAAUACGUAGGGUGUGAGCGUUAAUCGGAAUUACUGGGCGUAAAGCGUGCGCAGGCGGUUAUAUAAGACAGAUGUGAAAUCCCCGGGCUCAACCUGGGACCUGCAUUUGUGACUGUAUAGCUAGAGUACGGUAGAGGGGGAUGGAAUUCCGCGUGUAGCAGUGAAAUGCGUAGAUAUGCGGAGGAACACCGAUGGCGAAGGCAAUCCCCUGGACCCGUACUGACGCUCAUGCACGAAAGCGUGGGGAGCAAACAGGAUUAGAUACCCCAGUAGUCCCUGUCUCUUAUAC